Molecule: non-coding RNA, 28 nt
Filed under: Mus musculus (house mouse)
Lineage: Eukaryota; Metazoa; Chordata; Mammalia; Rodentia; Muridae
Source: RNAcentral
UUCUGAAAUCUUGAAUAUUGAACCUCUG